UUACACAAAAAUACUGAAUAUCGAUUUAAGCGAUUAAAAGUUAAAUUGAUUGUCAGCACUAGCACGAAAGCGCGCGCAGCAUUUAUGAAAAUGAGAGCAAGUUAUUUUGUGAGCAGUUGAGCCAACAAAAGAGAGCGCGAGAGUAAAAGAGAGAGUUAUUGUGAGCAACGCUCCCGCUAUUUUCCCACUGUUGUUGAUGGGACUUUCCGCUGCGGCCGCCAAAUUUUUCAACACGCCGAAUUCGCGGCCAGGAGCAGCAGCAGCAGCAGCGACGCCGACAGCAGCAGCAGCCGAGUGAGCGAAACAGCACAGAACAGUUUUCAGUUUUCGGGUCAGUCAGAGCGCACCAUCGUCUUCAGCGAGGCACAAGCACACACGAGCGCUAGUGCAACGCUUGAAGUAAAAAGUCAACAAACGUUAAUUGUAAAUAAGUAACAAA
Molecule: long non-coding RNA, 439 nt
Organism: Drosophila innubila
Lineage: Eukaryota; Metazoa; Arthropoda; Insecta; Diptera; Drosophilidae
Exons: 2
Source: RefSeq, a predicted model, not a curated record